CAGAAGGGAGCUUGCUCCCGGAUGUUAGCGGCGGACGGGUGAGUAACACGUGGGUAACCUGCCUGUAAGACUGGGAUAACUCCGGGAAACCGGAGCUAAUACCGGAUAGUUCCUUGAACCGCAUGGUUCAAGGAUGAAAGACGGUUUCGGCUGUCACUUACAGAUGGACCCGCGGCGCAUUAGCUAGUUGGUGGGGUAAUGGCUCACCAAGGCGACGAUGCGUAGCCGACCUGAGAGGGUGAUCGGCCACACUGGGACUGAGACACGGCCCAGACUCCUACGGGAGGCAGCAGUAGGGAAUCUUCCGCAAUGGACGAAAGUCUGACGGAGCAACGCCGCGUGAGUGAUGAAGGUUUUCGGAUCGUAAAGCUCUGUUGUUAGGGAAGAACAAGUGCGAGAGUAACUGCUCGCACCUUGACGGUACCUAACCAGAAAGCCACGGCUAACUACGUGCCAGCAGCCGCGGUAAUACGUAGGUGGCAAGCGUUGUCCGGAAUUAUUGGGCGUAAAGGGCUCGCAGGCGGUUUCUUAAGUCUGAUGUGAAAGCCCCCGGCUCAACCGGGGAGGGUCAUUGGAAACUGGGAAACUUGAGUGCAGAAGAGGAGAGUGGAAUUCCACGUGUAGCGGUGAAAUGCGUAGAGAUGUGGAGGAACACCAGUGGCGAAGGCGACUCUCUGGUCUGUAACUGACGCUGAGGAGCGAAAGCGUGGGGAGCGAACAGGAUUAGAUACCCUGGUAGUCCACGCCGUAAACGA
RNAcentral lists this ribosomal RNA (755 nucleotides) under Bacillus pumilus. RNAcentral's name for it is "bacterial SSU rRNA". It matches the Rfam family "Bacterial small subunit ribosomal RNA", at positions 69 to 809 of the family's 1533-position model. The record is from RNAcentral. Lineage: Bacteria; Bacillati; Bacillota; Bacilli; Caryophanales; Bacillaceae.